AAUAAAUUAUCAUAAAUGAUCUCCACCCUGAUCGUCAAGUACAGCAAAAGGAUAUCAGGACCCGGCUUUAGCCCAACAAGAAGACACUGAUUGACCACCACUCACAGCCAUUCAUUUCUGUCAGAAUGGGAACAUCAUCGAGUAAAGCAUCAUUCUCACCAUCAUGUAAGUUAUGUGAAGACAGGAAGGCCAGUAAACCGGAACCUAGUAAAUGGAGCUGCAAAGAGUGUUGGAUAUUGAUGUGUGACAGUUGUAAACAGAGUAUUCAUCCUGAAAUGAUGCAUCCAGAAACACAUACAGUUACAGAGACUGGAAAAGAUGAUGAUGAUUCAGUCGUAAUCUUGUCUGUUGUGAACACAUACAAAACAAAAUCCAAAAACAUUAUGAGGAUGCUUUGUUUACAUGAUGACAUGAUAUAUUAUCGUCACUUUAAUUCCGAAAAGUCAGAAAAUAGUGUCGUAAAGGCCAAAAUAUCGAAAUCAAUGAAAAUAUUACAAAAGGUUGAUAUUGAAUGUACAGAUCUUGCCAUAUCAUCUACUGACGACAUAUUAUUUUCACCUGCACAGUCGCCAUCAGAGCUUAAAACAUUUGCAAAGUCUGGUGAAACAAAAACUCUGUUGGAUGUUUCUCCAAUGGCCAUAUUCUGUAUCCAUGUAAACAAAGAUAAUGAGAAAAUACUUGUUUUGGUUGAGCAGUCGGACCCGUACAAUCAGAGCAUUGCUGUUUUUGGUACAGGUUAUGAGAAGAAAGUAACAAUUGAUAAUAACAGUAAAAUCUUUAAUAAAAUUCGUCGUAUCGUUUGUGAUUCCAAAAAUAAAAUGUAUGCAAUUGAUGGGAAAGCCGAUGAAGAUGGCAAUAGACGCGUGGUAUCGUUUGAUAUGAAAGGCAACACAAUAUUUAUUUAUGAGGGGUGUCAAAGUAUAAAACUGAUUUAUUCGCACCAACUGAUAUUGUGGUAACUGCGAAGGACAAUAUUAUAAUUGCAGACAUGUUUAGCAAUGCUUUACAUGUACUUAAUACUAAAGGAGAAUUAAUUGCGCUACAAAAUACCAUGGAAUAUGGAAUAGAGAUGCCAGAAAGUCUUAGUUUUGACAAAGCAGGGAAUCUACUAAUUGGUUGUGAUACAUUUGAAAAGCGCAAAGACCCGUUUGCAAAUAUAUACAUGGUGAAAACAUCGGUAUGACUGGGCAUAUGACAUUUGCGCCAAUUUUCAAAAUUUCGUUUUUUUUCAUUUCAUUUGCGCCAAUUAUUGAUUUUUCUUUUGCGCCAAUUUAAUUUGAAGCGGUAGGAUGUGAUAAAUUUCAGAUAAUUUCCGUGACUUAGUUUUAACCUAACGCAGCAGGUACGUGGUGUUCAAUGAGUACAUGUAUAUCCAUACAUGUUGAGCUCAUUGAUUUAAACACUUCUGUUAUGAUAAGAUGGAUCUUUUGUACACAGAAACAAGCCGGGGGAAAUAAGUCGACAAUCUUCGAUGGACAUUCUUUGAGGCAAUCAUACAUUCUCAAAAACAGAAAUAUUUGCUAUAGAUGUAAAAAUAAAUGAUGUAAAAGCUUGGAGUAAAACUGUGAUGGAAUGACAGUUGUGAAAACUUUACAUGAAUAUUACCACGUUGCAGAUGACCACAAGACUGAGGCAAAACAGCUCCGUGUCAGAAGUUAUGUUGUAGAAAACAAUCUGGUGAUAUAUCAAGUAGACCAGGCAAAAUAGUAAGAAUCGAGUUACAGGGAAUGCAAGAAAAUCACCUUCAAUUUUUUGUUAUUAAAUCAAUAAAUUCUGUACAACUUA
Mytilus californianus (California mussel) is the source of this 1785-nucleotide long non-coding RNA. RefSeq lists it as uncharacterized. The record is from RefSeq and is a predicted model, not a curated record. Lineage: Eukaryota; Metazoa; Mollusca; Bivalvia; Mytilida; Mytilidae. The transcript has 2 exons.